AUUGAACGCUGGCGGCAGGCCUAACACAUGCAAGUCGAGCGGAGCGGCGGACGGGGGAGUAAUGCCUAGGAAUUUGCCUGGUAGUGGGGGAUACCGUCCGGAAGCGGGAGCUAAUACAACAUGCUAGCAGAUGAGCCUAGGGGGGAUUAGCUAGUUGGAGGGGGAAAGGCCUACCAAGGCGACGAUCCGUAACUGGUCUGAGAGGAUGAUCAGUCACACUGGAACUGAGACACGGUCCAGACUCCUACGGGAGGCAGCAGUGGGGAAUAUUGGACAAUGGGCGAAAGCCUGAUCCAGCCAUGCCGCGUGUGUGAAGAAGGUCUUCGGAUUGUAAAGCACUUUAAGUUGGGAGGCGUUACCAACAGAAUAAGCACCGGCUAACUUCGUGCCAGCAGCCGCGGUAAUAC
RNAcentral lists this ribosomal RNA (407 nucleotides) under uncultured bacterium. RNAcentral's name for it is "partial 16S ribosomal RNA". It matches the Rfam family "Bacterial small subunit ribosomal RNA", at positions 30 to 526 of the family's 1533-position model. The record is from RNAcentral.